RNAcentral lists this long non-coding RNA (801 nucleotides) under Stegodyphus dumicola. Its description in RNAcentral is "uncharacterized LOC118203419, transcript variant X1". Lineage: Eukaryota; Metazoa; Arthropoda; Arachnida; Araneae; Eresidae. The record is from RNAcentral.
AUAUUCCGAGAGACAACGCGGAUUUCAGGUCGGAGGAUUUUCGUUUCUGACAUGUGUGGAGUCAUGUGGCAGUUAAACACCACAUUUGAUGACCCGAGAAGAACAUUGCAACUAUGCACCACAUUUGUUGACCUAAGAAAAUUGCUGUAGAAGAAAUAGCCAGAGUGAGGUGCUCAAGGAAGCUGAGUAUUGAGAUUUUAUGACAGCAGUAUCUGCAUAAAGGAUUCUAUUGUGCACCUGCAAAUCAGGACUAUUCCAGUAAAACCCAGUGUGCCAGUGCAGAUAUUGGAUCUUCCCAGCUUGUCAUGUGUUUUGGAGUGUUGGUAAAGAAUCUGUAAUUGGCACAAUCGUCUUAAAACAGCAUUUCUAGGUUUAGAUACUGUAGCAUCGUUACCUGAGACUCUUACAAUAAAACCAAGUGAUACUAUGCCACUAAAGCGGACUAUUCAUUCUGGCAGAAGAGUCAAGUUCCCUAAGUAUCUCUAGCCCCUCAUGCCUUUGGCAUGCAUGAGUGAGGGGGGCGGGGGAGUAUUGUGGUGGAGUAUUUGCAUUUUCCCACUUGCAUUCAGCAUUCAAGUUCCUGCGCUAUACUGGUGCACACUCACUGUAGUUGCGAAUAUAAAAACUGAAUUUUUCGCUAACAGUCUCUCUUGCUUUAGCACCUGUUCCUGUUUCUCCGAGGUCGAGAUUUAAUAUUGACUUUCACCAUGUGUUUAGUUUCAUAUUUUACUUUUCUUUUUAUUUAAAAUAAAGUUAUUUUUAUGUUUUGCCAAAGUUCUCGACCUUCCUUUAAAUGCACCU